RNAcentral lists this ribosomal RNA (949 nucleotides) under Staphylococcus aureus. Its description in RNAcentral is "partial 23S ribosomal RNA". It matches the Rfam family "Bacterial large subunit ribosomal RNA", at positions 1588 to 2538 of the family's 2925-position model. Lineage: Bacteria; Bacillati; Bacillota; Bacilli; Caryophanales; Staphylococcaceae. The record is from RNAcentral.
GAGUCGUUGAUUUCACACUGCCGAGAAAAGCCUCUAGAUAGAAAAUAGGUGCCCGUACCGCAAACCGACACAGGUAGUCAAGAUGAGAAUUCUAAGGUGAGCGAGCGAACUCUCGUUAAGGAACUCGGCAAAAUGACCCCGUAACUUCGGGAGAAGGGGUGCUCUUUAGGGUUAACGCCCAGAAGAGCCGCAGUGAAUAGGCCCAAGCGACUGUUUAUCAAAAACACAGGUCUCUGCUAAACCGUAAGGUGAUGUAUAGGGGCUGACGCCUGCCCGGUGCUGGAAGGUUAAGAGGAGUGGUUAGCUUCUGCGAAGCUACGAAUCGAAGCCCCAGUAAACGGCGGCCGUAACUAUAACGGUCCUAAGGUAGCGAAAUUCCUUGUCGGGUAAGUUCCGACCCGCACGAAAGGCGUAACGAUUUGGGCACUGUCUCAACGAGAGACUCGGUGAAAUCAUAGUACCUGUGAAGAUGCAGGUUACCCGCGACAGGACGGAAAGACCCCGUGGAGCUUUACUGUAGCCUGAUAUUGAAAUUCGGCACAGCUUGUACAGGAUAGGUAGGAGCCUUUGAAACGUGAGCGCUAGCUUACGUGGAGGCGCUGGUGGGAUACUACCCUAGCUGUGUUGGCUUUCUAACCCGCACCACUUAUCGUGGUGGGAGACAGUGUCAGGCGGGCAGUUUGACUGGGGCGGUCGCCUCCUAAAAGGUAACGGAGGCGCUCAAAGGUUCCCUCAGAAUGGUUGGAAAUCAUUCAUAGAGUGUAAAGGCAUAAGGGAGCUUGACUGCGAGACCUACAAGUCGAGCAGGGUCGAAAGACGGACUUAGUGAUCCGGUGGUUCCGCAUGGAAGGGCCAUCGCUCAACGGAUAAAAGCUACCCCGGGGAUAACAGGCUUAUCUCCCCCAAGAGUUCACAUCGACGGGGAGGUUUGGCACCUCGAUGUCGGCUC